AUCAAAAUCGAUUUACAAAUUAGAUAGCGAAAUCAUAAGAACACUGAUAUAUAAGUUCGGCAUUUUUUUUUUCUAUUUAUAUAAUAAAUACUUUUUCACUUUAUGUCUGAUUGUUGUUAUGAAACUGCUGGAAGAUGUUGUAAGUAAACAACCUUCACUAAUUAGUAUAAACAUUUCAACUUUACUUCAGACACCUUGAAGAGCGCCGUGAUGUAAAUUUGCAUAUCAAAUGAACUAAGUUUCUGGUGAUGGUAAACGCAACUAAGGAACACAGUUCUAAGAUUGCGGUAAAUUCGACAAAAUUGAGCAAGUCGAAUGGUUAGUCACUAUGACUAGAGCUAUGACGGUCAGAAUUUAUCUAAACUCUCAUUUGAACAACUGAAAUUAGAACAUGUUUAUUUUAUUCUUAUUAUGAGAUGUAUGUUUGUACCAUACACAAUAUGUGUAUGUGUGUAUAUAUAGUUCUAGUUUGCCACAUUGGAUUCUGAUGUUCAAUAGAGCGUUUAUCACUUUCUAUCAGUAAAAUAAAUAGUACGUCAUUUUCUUUUGUCCUGCAAAACUUCUUAUGCAACAUUUUUUAAAGUUAAAAAGUAAAUAAAUAAAUACUUGUGUGGACAUAUACUGCUUUAUCUGUGUUUUUUUUUGGUAGAAUAGCUAACACGUAUGCAUUACUAAUACAUAGUAGGUAUCGUUAUACUGAGAAAGAAAAUGUUAAAUAAUCAUAUAUGCAACUAGUCAUUUACAAUCAACACUAAUAAUGUUUCCAGCCGUUAUCUGCCGCCCAGAUAAGAUAGAGUACAGUACCCCUUUGUUUAUGCGCUGCACUCCUACAUAAGACCUCAGAUAAUGCAUUAUCUACAUAAAUACGGCAAGAUAUUAGCUGAUAUUAGAGAACAAAGACAAGAUUGGAAACCAACCAUGCCCGCGGCCGUGGGCGGUGACAAUCGUCACAAUUCCGUAUGGCCGGCAAUGAACCCUCGCAUUUGCUCUGCCGAAACAAUUAGCGACGCGACGCAAAUCUAACCAAACUAUUUACUGAGCUGCCAUCUACGUAUAUGGCGACGGAAAAAUGAAUUAUGCUAAUAAAUGAAAUAGAAACAAA
Long non-coding RNA from Galleria mellonella (greater wax moth), 1102 nucleotides. RefSeq lists it as uncharacterized. The transcript is spliced from 2 exons. The record is from RefSeq and is a predicted model, not a curated record. NCBI's taxonomy places the organism in Eukaryota, Metazoa, Arthropoda, Insecta, Lepidoptera, Pyralidae.